AUUGAACGCUGGCGGCAGGCCUAACACAUGCAAGUCGAACGGUAACAGGAAGAAGCUUGCUUCUUUGCUGACGAGUGGCGGACGGGUGAGUAAUGUCUGGGAAACUGCCUGAUGGAGGGGGAUAACUACUGGAAACGGUAGCUAAUACCGCAUAACGUCGCAAGACCAAAGAGGGGGACCUUCGGGCCUCUUGCCAUCGGAUGUGCCCAGAUGGGAGUAGCUAGUAGGUGGGGUAACGGCUCACCUAGGCGACGAUCCCUAGCUGGUCUGAGAGGAUGACCAGCCACUCUGGAACUGAGACACGGUCCAGACUCCUACGGGAGGCAGCAGUGGGGAAUAUUGCACAAUGGGCGCAAGCCUGAUGCAGCCAUGCCGCGUGUAUGAAGAAGGCCUUCGGGUUGUAAAGUACUUUCAGCGGGGAGGAAGGGAGUAAAGUUAAUACCUUUGCUCAUUGACGUUACCCGCAGAAGAAGCACCGGCUAACUCCGUG
This 490-nucleotide ribosomal RNA is filed under the name uncultured bacterium. RNAcentral's name for it is "partial 16S ribosomal RNA". It matches the Rfam family "Bacterial small subunit ribosomal RNA", at positions 30 to 507 of the family's 1533-position model. The record is from RNAcentral.